UCUCCUGGAUCCACCCAACCUCGGGUUGAAAAGCCAAAGCUGGGCCUGUGUACUCACUAGUGUGCAGCCAUGGACAGGCUUACUUCCUCACUCCUGCUGCUGAUUGUCCCUGCAUAUGUCCUGUCCCAGGUUACUCUGAAAGAGUCUGGCCCUGGGAUAUUGCAGCCCUCCCAGACCCUCAGUCUGACUUGCUCUUUCUCUGGGUUUUCACUGAGCACUACUAAUAUGGGUGUGGGCUGGAUCCGUCAGCCCUCAGGGAAGGGUCUGGAGUUGCUGGCAACCAUUUAUUGGGAUGAUGAUAAGUACUACAACCCAUCAUUGAAAAGUCGGCUUACAAUCUCCAAGGACACCUCCAACAGCCAGGUAUUCCUCAAGCUGGCCAGUGUGGACACUUCAGAUACUGCCACAUACUACUGUGCUCGGAGAGCACAUUGAAUCAGUCUCAGUUUUCA
Non-coding RNA from Apodemus sylvaticus (European woodmouse), 452 nucleotides. Lineage: Eukaryota; Metazoa; Chordata; Mammalia; Rodentia; Muridae. The record is from the annotation of a RefSeq genome assembly.